RNAcentral lists this long non-coding RNA (409 nucleotides) under Neodiprion pinetum (white pine sawfly). RNAcentral describes it as "uncharacterized LOC124211948". The record is from RNAcentral. Lineage: Eukaryota; Metazoa; Arthropoda; Insecta; Hymenoptera; Diprionidae.
AAUGUCGGAGUGAGUCAGACAUGUGAUCCCGAGUUGGGUACUGCCUGAUAAAAUUGUACACGAAAAUACGCGGCAUAGUUUAGGAGGGUCCCGACGGAAAUUGCCGUUGAACACACGGCGGACAUUUCGGGCCCCGACGAAAAAUCAAAGUUUUCGACCGCGGGGCGGGAGGGGAGGUGAGGGGGAGGAACAGCGCAGUCCGCCAUCUCGGAUCAAAGGAUCAACCGUUGAUGAAUUAUCUUGCAAGAACUAAGUUUUGGUACCCUCGAUCCACGAUGGCGCUGACCCCUUCCCCUGCCUCCAAUGUCAAAAACUUGGAACUUUCAUCGGGGCCUGAAACUAAAUAACAUGUAUCAAAAUCAUUUAUACUCCACCUCUUGUAGAGCAAAAGUCUUUUUUAGUCCCUAUU